This 2363-nucleotide unclassified non-coding RNA is filed under the name Leishmania donovani. RNAcentral's name for it is "gene:LdHU3.09.1070(CDS-product:hypothetical_prote in_conserved)". Lineage: Eukaryota; Euglenozoa; Kinetoplastea; Trypanosomatida; Trypanosomatidae. The record is from RNAcentral.
CACACCCGCUGCAACCGUCAUCUCCGUGACAGCAAGCGCCUUCCGGUAGCCCGUAUACUGUGGCCUUCCCUCUCUAUCUACUUGUCUUUGCUACUCAUCGAGCACCGCGGAGGUCACGGCGAUUGCAGUCGCCUGGCGCGCAUACACACACCACACUACACCUUCCCCGCCGCCAUCUCCGCGUCUUCAUGUACUCCUUCAGCCUUGCCUCAAACCGCAAGAGUGCCAUCUCCAACUCCUCAGGGCUGGCGCCACCAGCAGCCGCGCACGUGAUUCGAGCCCCGUCUGAACUCAAGCCCCAUCAGCGUCUGCCGCAGCCGCCGAAUGAGGCCGACGAUGACGAUGACGUGAUACAUGUGUCCAACGCACGUUUUGGCUGGCAUCCCGCGCAUGAGCACGCGCCGACCUCGUCGCUCUACGCUGUUCGCCCGCCGGCCGAGCAGCUCGUGCAUGUACAUAAUCUGAACGCCUAUAUGGCCCUUCGCGACGCCGCGGACUGGUCUGUUGAGGUGCAGCGUGAGAGGGAGCAAAAGAAGCGGCGAGCACUCGCCCAGCACGAGGCCGUCAAGCUCGAGGAGCAGCGGCACCGUGACGCGCAGGAGGAGCAGACAAAGAAAGAGAUGCAGCAGCGCCGGUGGGAGCGGCAGCAGGAGCGCGCGGAGCUGCGUGAGGCGGAUGCAAUGGCCGACUUCCAGGACCGCAACACGCAGUUUCUGCAGAACCAACUUUGGCUUAUGCAGCUGGGGAGCUACGUCAGGCAAACGGAUGCGCAGCACAAGGCGCAUGCACGAGAAGAGCUCCACAAGAGCUCCUUCAGUCGCAAUCAUCUGGAUGUAGGUCACACAAGUACGACCAGCUGGGGCGGCACCAACGUCAGGGGUCACCACACCUCCGCGCCGUCCACCGAGAUCGACCUGCGCCAAGCAGCGGAGGCCACCGAAGAGGCGUACGUCCGCCUCAGUCUUGCCUAUCGCAACGAGGCGCAGCGCUCGCGUGCCGCCGCGGCGAUUCUCAAUCCUGGUGAGCUCACCGGCAAGGGGCGCUCUCGGCCACGGGCGACACGCUCCGUCGGCGCCUUUGCAUCGCCUACUUCACCGUCAGCACCGUCACAAGCCGCCACCGCCGUCAGCACGCCGCCGCACAGCCCGGCGGCGUCACCUGCGCCAACCGCGGUGACGGAGGCGGCAGCGAAAGUCUCAGCGCCCUUCCACACGGCACCGCCCAUGUUCACCCACACAUCGGAGGAGAACAUGGGCCAGCACGCGAACGCCAUCCCGUACACGUACAUCCCCGAGUACUUCGACGCCCCGUCCGCCGCCGCAACUGCAGGGAAGGUGCCGGCCCCGCGCCGCGCUGGCGAGCCGCCGGAGCAGCAAGAGACGGGCGCUGUGAUGCCCCUUCCCCUGUCCCCAGUGCCUGUCAGUCGUGACGUCACCGGUGCACUGCAGGCGAGGUAUUACCCGUGGGCCCUCUACAGCGCCGCCGCGGUGCGCAAAUCGAUGCUGCCACCACUGCCGCCGCCGCGAGAAGCGUCGCUACCGGUCCGCCGGUGGGGCGCAGCGGAGCUGCGCGACUCGAUGUUCGGUCACUGCAUUCUAGAAGACGGCACGAUCCAGGAUCAGUGCGAGCGCAAGAAGAUGUGUGCGGCGUACCUGGGCUACACCACGCUGCCACGCGACAACGCCACGGCGACGUCGAACGCCGCUGUAGAGCCGCAGGAGCCGCUGCACUUCGGCAAACGGAUGGAUAUAUGGCUGUGAGGCAUGCAAGAGUGGAUGCACUCUCGUGUGUGUUGAUGAGCUGUGGUGAUGAUGGUGUUCUCCGGGUGUGGACGGCCGUGGAAAGGAAUGGCAGGGAGGGACCGUCGGCUUCGCGGAGGGGGCACCUACGUGUGUGUGUGUGUGUGUGAGCUGCAUCGCCUGCCCUCGCCCCUUCCCCUUUCCUCCGCCAUCUCCUCUCUGUUCGGCUAUGACUGAGCGCCAGACUUGCGGCCCAGAUGCACGUUCCUCGUCGCAUCUGUGUCUGUGGGUAUAUUGGACCGUUGGGCCGUCGCGUUUUGCUUAUUUUCGUGCAUGUAAACUAUCACGGGUGGGUCGAAGGGUUGCGCGGGACGGGUGAGGAGGAAGAGGCGCAGGGUGCGCGUAUGUGGGUGUGUGUGCACGACCUGCGUGCGCACCACCAUCGCCGCCGCCGCCGCUCCUUCACCCGCAUCAACCCUUCUAUGUAUUCCCUUUCUCGUUAUUCCAUAUCCGUGCUCGUCCACAUAUGCGUACGCAAGCAUGUACACGCAUGCAACCGCGUGUGUGAUGGAGGGCACGAGAUGUGGUUUUCAUGGCACCGUUGAAAGCCUCUUGGAAGCAAUG